Molecule: ribosomal RNA, 253 nt
Filed under: uncultured bacterium
Lineage: Bacteria
Description: partial 16S ribosomal RNA
Rfam family: Bacterial small subunit ribosomal RNA
Source: RNAcentral
GACGAAGGGGGCUAGCGUUGUUCGGAAUUACUGGGCGUAAAGCGCACGUAGGCGGCUUUGCAAGUUAGAGGUGAAAGCCCAGGGCUCAACCCUGGAAUUGCCUUUAAAACUGCAUCGCUAGAAUUGUGGAGAGGUAAGUGGAAUUCCGAGUGUAGAGGUGAAAUUCGUAGAUAUUCGGAAGAACACCAGUGGCGAAGGCGACUUACUGGACACAUAUUGACGCUGAGGUGCGAAAGCGUGGGGAGCAAACAGG